GGGGAUUUAACUCAGUGGUAGAGCGCUUGCCUGGCAAGCACAAGGCCCUGGGUUCGGUCCCCAGCUCCG
RNAcentral lists this transfer RNA (69 nucleotides) under Rattus norvegicus (Norway rat). It matches the Rfam family "tRNA". From Rfam's summary of the family: Transfer RNA (tRNA) molecules are approximately 80 nucleotides in length. Lineage: Eukaryota; Metazoa; Chordata; Mammalia; Rodentia; Muridae. The record is from Rfam by way of RNAcentral.